Molecule: ribosomal RNA, 409 nt
Filed under: Metschnikowia caudata
Lineage: Eukaryota; Fungi; Ascomycota; Pichiomycetes; Serinales; Metschnikowiaceae
Description: partial 18S ribosomal RNA
Rfam family: Eukaryotic small subunit ribosomal RNA (bases 1-303)
Source: RNAcentral
CCUUGGCCGAGAGGCCUGGGAAAUCUUGGGAAACUCCGUCGUGCUGGGGAUAGAGCUUUGUAAUUUUUGCUCUUGAACGAGGAAUUCCUAGUAAGCGCAAGUCAUCAGCUUGCGUUGAUUACGUCCCUGCCCUUUGUACACACCGCCCGUCGCUACUACCGAUUGAAUGGCUUAGUGAGGCCUCCGGAUUUGCCAGGGCGAGGGCAACCUUGCUUGAGCGGAGAAGCUGGUCAAACUUGGUCAUUUAGAGGAAGUAAAAGUCGUAACAAGGUUUCCGUAGGUGAACCUGCGGAAGGAUCAUUAAAAAAAGAUANNAGACUGAUUGAUAGGGCCGACGAAGUUGGCCCGGCAAGAACAUAAAAACUGAUUUGGCCCUAGGUAAUCUUACNUNNNCNCUCUCUUUUUUUUU